Molecule: non-coding RNA, 79 nt
Organism: Podarcis lilfordi (Lilford's wall lizard)
Lineage: Eukaryota; Metazoa; Chordata; Lepidosauria; Squamata; Lacertidae
Source: the annotation of a GenBank genome assembly
GCUGGAUAGCUCUGUUGGUUAGAGUAUGGUGCUAAUAACACCAAGGUUGCAGAUUCAAUCUCUGUAUGGGACAGCUGCA